Mytilus californianus (California mussel) is the source of this 404-nucleotide long non-coding RNA. RefSeq lists it as uncharacterized. NCBI's taxonomy places the organism in Eukaryota, Metazoa, Mollusca, Bivalvia, Mytilida, Mytilidae. The record is from RefSeq and is a predicted model, not a curated record. The transcript is spliced from 3 exons.
GGUGAGGGAAACAUUGGCACCUGUACUAGGUGAGGGAAACAUUGGCACCUGUACUAGGUGAGGGAAACAUUGGCACCUGUACUAGGUGAGGGAAACAUUGGCACCUGUACUAGGUGAGGGAAACAUUGGCACCUGUACUAGGUGAGGGAAACACUGGCACUUGUACUAGGUGAGGGAAACAUUGGCCCCUGUACUAGGUGAGGGAAACAUUGGCACUUGUACUAGGUGAGGGAAACAUUGGCAUCUGUACUAGGUGAGGGAAACAUUGGCACUUGUACUAGGUGAGGGAAACAUUUGCAUCUGUACUAGGUGAGGGAAACAUUGGCACCUGUACUAGGUGAGGGAAACAUUGGCACCUGUACUAGGUGAGGGAAACAUUGGCCCCUGUAAUAGGUGAGGAAAAC